Long non-coding RNA from Bactrocera dorsalis (oriental fruit fly), 6982 nucleotides. RefSeq lists it as uncharacterized. The transcript is spliced from 2 exons. The record is from RefSeq and is a predicted model, not a curated record. NCBI's taxonomy places the organism in Eukaryota, Metazoa, Arthropoda, Insecta, Diptera, Tephritidae.
UUUUUCUAGGGAUAUGGUUAAUUAUUGUUUAAGUAUUUAGUUGAAAUUACAAUGAAUUGUAAAAUAUUUUAGUUUUUUGUUCUUCAGGCCUAAAAGCAAGAAACUUAGUAGAAAUAAGUAAGGAAGAGCUAAGUUUUAGUGCAACCAAAUAUUUCAUACUCUCGUAACUUGCAAGUAUCAAAGCCGAUCAAAUAUCUUUAGGUGUUGGCAAAGCUUUAUUAUAAAAAAAAAUUGCGAAAUAAUUUCAAUAUUAAAUUUCAACAUCCAUACGUGUAUCUUAUAAACUUACUUAAUAGGUCAUAUGUAUACUCAAUUAGUUUUACAGCUAUAUCAGCAAAAAUUAUAUUAAAAUCAUCUUCAAAAAAGAUAUAUCUGACAUAUGGGGUUUGUCCGCAAAGUAAUAAGUCUGAUUCGAUUUAAAAAAAUUUAUUGAACCAAUCGUUACAAUUCUUUAUAAACUUUCAAAAUAGGCUCCUUCUGCGUCGAUACAGCGCUGCCAGCGCGAUUUCCAAGCAUUGAAGGCGUGACGGAAGGCCUUCUUCGGAAUAGCCUUUAGAGCCGAGGUGAAUUCUGCUUGGAUCCCUCUGUCGUCACAAAAUGCUUGCCUUUCAUCGGCCUUCCAUGACUCAUCACCUGUGAUUACGUUAUUCAAAAAUUGGGAGUCACUUUCACACAUGUUCAAAUUUUUUUGGCACACUUCCAUUCGUUGCAAUUUCUGGUCGUGAGUAAGCACUUUUGAGACUAUCUUCGUGCACACCUUGCGCAUGUUUAAGUGCUGCGUCACAAUGUCAUGAAGCUCAGAUUUCGAUGAAUUUAAGGUUUGGGCAAUCAAAACUUUGCGAACACGAGUCACAUUGUCGGUGUUCGAGCCGCAGGUCUCCCAGCACGGUCUUCAUCAGCGGCCACUUCCUAGUCCUCGAAAAAGGCCUAGGGCCACCGAAACACACCACUUCUUACUAAAGGAACAUCUGGGUAAGCCUGCUUGAUCAUAUCAAACGUCUUUGUCGUAUAUUUACUGAGUUUCACACAGAAUUUAAUCGCGUACCUCAGCUCUAACGAACAGUGCAUUUUCGGCUUGCACCACUCACAGAAACACGUCGAGCGAAAAUAUUUGUCCAGACUCUCCAGAUUUUCGGAAUUUAUUAAAUUGAGUUGCAAAAUAUCAACCAUACAUCUACAUUAAUUCUAUUAACAUUCAGCGCUAAAUAACAUAAUUUGUAAGAAAUUUUAUGUACUUAAUUUUCUUAAAAUAUCAUGUGUGAUGGUGAAAAUUCGGAAUUCACUAUACAGUAUAUAUUGGGGAAGGGAUAAAAAAAGAUUGUUCUAAGCAAACUUGGCACGCCCACUUUUUACGAAACUUUCAAGCCUUAUUUGUCCCUUACUAAUGCGAUUCAUUGUACUAAAUCACAGUUUAAUGUCUUAUUGCGGAGCUUAGUUAUAACACUUCAUAGGUUUUCUAUUAAUGGCGUUUUGUGUGCGAGCCAAUUGUUCGAUUCCGCCCAUCUGCAAUACCUUCUCUCUUAUACCUGGCUUUCAAAUUGGAUCGUCUCAUCAUCCUGAUCAUUUAUAUAAACAAAUACGGUUUGCACAGACAGACAUUUAUAUUUAUAUUUAUACAUAUAGCCCUAUAUACAUAUAUCUCGAUUAGACUUCUUCUUUCUUCUUCUUUACUGGCGUAGACAACGCUUACGCGAUUAUAGCCGAGUCAGCAACAGCGUGCCAGUCGUUUCUUCUCUUCGCUACGUGGCGCCAAUUGGAUAUUCCAAGCGAGGCCAGGUCCUUCUCCACUUGGUCCUUCCACCGGAGUGGAGGUCUUCCUCUUCCUCUGCUUCCCGCGGCGGGUACUGCGUCGAAUACUUUCAGAGCUGGAGUGUUUUCAUCCAUCCGGACAACAUGACCUAGCCAGCGUAGCGGCUGUCUUUUAAUUCUCUGAACAAUGUCAAUGUCGUCGUAUAUCUCGUACAGCUCAUCGUUCCAUCGAAUGCGAUAUUCGCCGUGGCCAACGCGCAAAGGACCAUAAAUCUUUCGCAGAACUUUUCUCUCGAAAACUCGCAACGUCGACUCAUCGGUUGUUGUCAUCGUCCAAGCCUCUGCACCAUAUAGCAGGACGGGAAUUAUGAGCGACUUAUAGAGUUUGGCUUUUGUUCGUCGAGAGAGAACUUUACUUUUCAAUUGCCUACUCAGUCCGAAGUAGCACCUGUUGGCAAGAGUAAUCCUGCGUUGGAUUUCCAGGCUUACAUUGUUGGUGGUGUUUACGCUGGUUCCAAGAUAGACGAAAUUAUCUACAACUUCAAAGUUAUGACUGACAACAGUGACGUCAGUGCCGAUUAGAUUUAGUUUUUAUAAAUUACCGUUAGGUAGAGAUGCACGCGAGAGUAUAAAAAUUGUACUCUUUAGACUUUUUUGUAAGAGGUAAGAAGCGGACUAUUAAUGAACACUGGCUCGGUGUGAUUGUGCGGAUAAAAAGUUAUCGACAUUCAUCUACAUACGUCACCAACGUUAAUGUUGUCAUCGUGGUUUCUUUUACUCUCUUCUUCUUCUUCUUCUCUAUUGGCGUAGACACCGCUUACGCGAAAAGGAGUCGCCUUGUCUGAAACCUCAUUUGCUAUCGAACGGCUCGGAGAGGUCCUUCCCGAUCCUGACGGAGCUUUUGGUGUUGCUCAACGUCAGUUUACACAGCUGUAUUAGUUUUGCGAGGAUACCAAAUUCAGACAUUGCGGCAUAAAGCAGCUUUGGAAUCAACGAAGAGGUGGUGUGUGUUGAUUCUCCUUUCACGGGUCUUUUUUCUAAAUUUGGCGCAUGGUGAAUAUCUGGUCAUCUUUUACUCUUUCCUUACAUAGUGGAUUAUUAUUGUAAAUUUCUGUGUAACGAUUUGUAUUUGUAAAUUUUAAUACCAUACAUCCUUUCCUUUGAAACAAUUCCAGUCCAUAACAGCUGCAAGUACUCUCAUAUAUCCCGUGGCGGAUCCAGAGUAGAAUUUUUGGUGGGGUGGGGGUGUUAACUAUAUAAUUUUGUACUUGCAACUCAAAGUUUUUUUCUUCGUGGAGUGUCGCUUUUGAUGCAAAUAAUGUAUAACUUUUAACUUUUGGGGAGGGAACUCCCCGUUUUCCUCCUUUCCUCCCGUGGAUCCGCGUCUGCAUAUAUCGAUCACCGACAAUUUCUGGCAUUACAAAACUUUUUAUAAUUUCUUUUCUUUAAUUUCUUAUAUUAAUCAAAUUUUCAAAUUUUUGAUUUGUAUUUAUAUACUUCAGAAUAAUCAAAGAAAAAAUUAUAAAUAAAAGAAACAAAAUCAAAAUAUGCUGUUUGUUCCACACAAAAGACUGAGAAGACCACGACGGAUUUUCCGCAAACGUAACGUGUCACGUUCAAUGGCAACACAAGUGAACGAACUGGAUAUCGAUAUGACAUUUGAGAGCAUGACACGUGCCAAAGACUUCCCGUGCAACGCUUUGCAAACCAAUCUCAUAUAUUUUUGCGCCUCAAAUUAUACAUAAAAAUUCCAGAUACUUUUGAAAUGGAUUUACAUACAUAUCUUAAAAAUUAAUUGAAAUAUAUGUACUGUACUUAUAUAUGUAUACACAUACAUAUGUACAUGUUAGAAAUUACAAAAGUGGAAAGGGAAGCAUAUUAUUAUUAUUAUUAUUAUUAGUAUACCCAGCCCGCGGGUGAAUUUUAGAAUAGCAUCCCCCGAUUUCGGAAUUAAAAUGUGUAAAAUGAUGUACGGAUAGAAGAAGUGCUCCAGAUUAAGAAAAUAUAUAUUUAUAGUUGUUUGUGAUUUAUGGUUUUUGAUAUUUGCAUUAAAGUUCGAAAAGUUCAACUAUUUAAAGUUCGUGGGUCUCCGAUUUCUAAUGAAUUUUACACUUAUGUAUAUUUUUAAUUUUUACACCCAAUACCACUUCACUAAUUCGUUUCUAUCUAUUUAUUUUAUAUUAAACUAGCUGACCCCACAGGCGUUGCCCUGCGUGAAAUUAUGUGUUUUGAAAUGAAAAGAAAGUUGAAUUUAUAUAGCGUUGAAAAUCAUUUAUUUGAUAUUUUUCUACAUUUCUUUUUUUUUUCAAUGUAGCGUAAUUUGUUUCGGUGUGUAAGUGUACAGGGAGGAUGGUUUUUCAACUUGUGAACACGCCACGUAUAGCUGGCCGUGUGAAAAACAUGGCAUUUCCAGAUUUAUGCCACACACUUCUAGCGACUUUCCUUGUGUUCUGUUGAUUGCCAUCCCAAAUGCAAUUUUCCCUGAAAACUGAAUAGGUUUGAACUGAAAUCGCAAAGAAAUUCGUGAAAUCAAGCAUUCUGCCCCCUUGUAUUCGAUAGCUGCGGCGCAUGAAGAUUGGGAAACAUAAUAAUGACAGAUCCGGCGGUAUACCAAGCCUCUCCAAAGAAUUUAGAAAUUCCACUGGAUAAUUCAGGGCUUCGUAUUCAUUGUCAAGACGAUCGAUCGAUUUGUAUAAGCGCAAACCUCCCGGAAUUUGACAUAGAAUCUUCUAGUUUAAGUCAUUAAAAUCGGUAUUUUUGGCUGCUAAAAUUGCGCGUGCACUCAAGAAAUCGUAGUUGCGAUAAUUUGGUCAAUGUUCGGAUAAAUAUUCGUGAUGAGUUCAUCUUUCGUUGAAGUGAAUUGACAAAAGCCAGGUGGAAUUGAUAUCAAACCACUGGAAGUAUCAACCAGAUUUUGCCUAUUUCCAAUUCUUAUCGAAUACGAUGUAAAAUGUCCUCGGCAAUGUCAUUUUUGUUCGUAUACCAUAAUUGACGCGGAUUUGGAGACAGAUAUGUCGAAAAUAAUGUCAUCGCGAAAAGUGUGCGAACUUCAGUUUCAUGUGAAGUAGCUAUCGAAGCGUCCAUCGUUUGAUUCCAUUGAUUAUCAUGUUCCAGCAAUUGUAAUUGCUGGCAUGCUUCUCAAAAAGUCGCACACACCGUACCAUUCACAGUACGCAAUGACUCAAUUGAAAUUGAACCACGUACAUUUAUCAUUAGCAACCUAAAGUAGAAGCAAUUGUCGUUUUUCGGGUUGGAUUGUGUAAAUUCGUCCUAAGGCAUUAGUUGAGAACACACCUGCCUGUCAAUCUACUGGUUGGCCUUGCUUUCUGCGUAACUGUUUCUUCGACGAUGCAUUCCACGUAUAGCAAACGGAUCACUGACGCAAGUUGAGAAAAAAUUCAUCAAUGUAAAUUUUGUUGUUGGAAGUGUUUCCGCUGGCUAUACUGUAUUCUAAGGGUUGAAAUACAUCCAUUGGACUUCUCCAAAUGAACUGCGAGACCCACAACAGUCGGAAAACGUCCAUGAAUUUCAAAAGUAAAUCUAUACUAAUAUUAUAAAGCUGAAGACUUUGUUUGUUUGAACGCGCUAAUCUCCGAAACUACUGGUUCGAAUUGAAUAAUUCUUUUUGUGUUGGAUAGUCCAUUUAUUGAGGAAGGCUAUAGGCUAUAUAGCAUCACGUUGCGACUAAUAGCGAAGAAACAGUGGUAAAUGUGUAAAAAACGCGGGAAAUUAUUUAUCUUUGAGGGCUUCCGUUCCUUGCGCUGCGAAAGCGGUUCAAGAUACACAAAAGUUAUGUAUGAAAGAAUUAUUUAUCUUUUAAUGAUCUAAAAAAAGUCCGUGAGUACCGUUUUUGUGAUAACUAAUUUGUAGAGUUUAGAGUUGUAUUAACAUAAUAAUAUUAAUUUCUCUAUAUUUAUUGUUAUUUUCUUCUGUCGUUACACGCAGUAUAAAACUCUUCAAAUUUUUUAGGUAAUCCGUAAUUUUUUGUGGUUAGCAGUCAUUUUAUUAUUUUAGAUCUUACUCGCUGAUUUUAAUUCAUACUCUGCUUUUCUUAGAAAAUGCCACGGAAGCGGAAAUCUGGUUUAUCCAAAAUGGCAUGGUAGUUUUAUUGACUGGUGAUUUCCGUCAAACCCUCCCAGUGAUUCAGAGGGGAACACCAGCAGAUGAAAUUCAAGCGUGAAUUAAAUCAUCACGCUUAUGGUCGACAGUUGAAAAACUCCGCCUGAAAACGAAUAUGAGAGUGCAUCUUCAUAAUGACGUGGAUUCAGGACUUUACGCAGAAAUGUUGUUGAAUAUUGGUGAUGGUUGUUUAGAUGUUGACGUUGAAGGCUACAUAUUACUGUCAAGAGAAUUUUGUAAUUUAGUAGAAAGUGAUGUGGAUUUCAUUACUAAUGUUUUUCCGGAAUUGCGACAAAGUUUGUGUAGUGAUCAGUGGUUGUGUGCAAGAGCAAUAUUAGCACCAAGAAAUUAAAUUUUUAAUAGGAUCAACACUGAUAUUUUAAACGAGGUUCAGGGAAAAAUUAAGGAAUAUUUGUCAAUGGAUACAAUUAUAGAUACGGAACUAAGUACUUCAUAUCCUGUAGAGUUUUUAAAUUCACUUGAACUAUCGGGUGUACCGUCACAUAAACUUCAAUUGAAACUAAAUGUACAAAUAAUGCUUAUGCGAAAUCUAGAUGCUCCUCUGCUAUGUAAUGGAACAAAGCUUCGGAUAACAAAAUUGGGACAGAACAUACUUGGUGGCACUAUUAUAACAGGUGUCGGUAAGGGAAAUAGUGUUAUAAUACCUCGGAUACCAAUUGUUCCCACUGACUUUCCAUUCAAAUUUAAAAGGGUUCAGUUUCCCGUCAAGCUUAGCUUUGCUGUUACUAUAAAGAAGGCACAAGGACAAGCAUUACAGGUAGCAGGAGUGCAUUUAGAAAACCCAUGCUUCUCUCAUAGUCAACUUUAUGUAGCCUGUUCACGUGUAUCUAAUGCCCAGAAUUUGCACAUAUUUGCACCCGACGGGAAAACUUAUAACAUGGUCUACAAAAAUAUACUAGAUUAACACUCUGUAUUUUAUUUUUUUAAAUUGUUAGAAUUCAGAAUUAUUUAUUUUUGUUACGGUGAAAUAUAUUUUAACAUUUUUUGUUGCAUUUCAAUACGCAUAUUUUAAGGUGUUGAAACUUCAUUGUCUGUAGUAAUUUUUAAAAAUUGUUGAUCUCAGCCAAGCAAUGAAAUUUAGUUAUCAUUUUGA